AUGUAAUAAGUAAUUAUUGAUUACUUUAUGUUUUUGAAUUACACAAUAAUCUUUCAUUGAUAUCUUAUAAUUUACUCUGUUGGUGUGUUCACAUAUAGGCUCGUACUAAGAUAAAUUUAGAGAAUUGAAAAAGACAAUUAAUCAGCCAUGCUGCAAGCACAAAGAGCUUUGCACGGAUAUGUGAGGAAGAGAGGAAGAAAACGUCUAGUGGCGAGGAUCCAAGCUGGGCAGAUGUGUUUAUAUUGACCCAUACGUGCAAGAGUGGUAGGCCUGUGGAUGAGGCUUCAUUAAGAGUAAUGGAACAACUUAAUGAAUGAAUUUCUUAGCAGCCCAAUACCUCACAGAAUAACACAGGAAGGAAUGACUUAUUUUCUCAAGUAAUGGGAGAAGAUCGACAUGGCUGAGUCCGCACUUAUGGGUUAGGCCCCACUCCGACUGAUUUGUGGGGAACAACACCUAGCCAACGAAGAAUUACCUACGUUGCUCAGAGUAGAAAUGAAGAAUAUGAGGGACUGCAGAUUGAAGUAUCAUCCCUAAAAUUAAAAUUUUCAUCUUUUAAAGAAUCUAGGUGCCGCUGAUAUCCUAUAGGACAAAUCUGAAAUCCACAGUAUCAGAGAAUUCAGCUAAUCUCAACCCAAACCAACCGGCCUCAUCAUCAAGCUAGGGACACUUAGCAAAAAAGGGAAAAACUACGACUUGCAGUAGUACCAGGGUAAAUUUUCACACCAAUUGAAUAGUUCUUUUAUUAUGUUUUGAGAUUAUUGUGUUCUUAAUUAGAUGUGGUAUACAAAUGAUGCAAUGUAUUGUGUUAAAUAGUAAAUUUUAUUUGUAGGACAUGAUCGAAGUUCUUCUUACUAGUAUCCGUGGGGUUACUGUUGCUAGAGGAAUUGUCUUAAGUAAGGAUCUGCUCACAAAAGUAAGCGGGUUCCCACUUGGAAAUGGUUUUUGGAAAGUAUAUAUUUAGGUGGCAAUUGUACGUAAAGAGACUUCGAUGAGACCCUAUAGACGAUAUAGAACAAUUGGAGAUGCGGCUGGAACAAGUAUUUGUUGGCCUGAUUGUCGUUGUUUGGUUGUGACAGCUAUGGAUUGAGCUAAAUGGAGGGAUCUCUCUCUCUCUCUCUCUCUCUCUCUCUCUCUCUCUCUCUCUCUUUCUCUUGUUAUUUUUAAAAAAAAAAUGAUUUUGGCAGUUGGUUGUGACAACUAAUGUUUGUUUCAUGUUAGUAUAUAUAUUUUUUUAAUAUUGCAAUGCAAAUUGUAUAUAUGUGAAACUAUUAGUAUUCAAACUAACUCAGAGAUUUAUGUUGUGAUUUGU
Molecule: long non-coding RNA, 1312 nt
Organism: Magnolia sinica
Lineage: Eukaryota; Viridiplantae; Streptophyta; Magnoliopsida; Magnoliales; Magnoliaceae
Exons: 5
Source: RefSeq, a predicted model, not a curated record